AAUGAAGAUUUUAUGUUAGCACAUAUCUCUAUGUCUGUAGCUGCCAUUCGGGAACAGACCAGCGAUGAGACCGCAGGAGUUCCAACUCACUUCCCCUUCCAGACAAAGAGCCACUGUGAGUCUGGCUUCCGCAGGCCAGGCAGGCGUCCUCAUCGGCUACUGUCCGCAGCGGGAUGCCCUGGACGAGCUGCUGACCGCGUGGGACCAUCUCCACUACUACUGCAGCCUCCGAGGAAUCCCGGGGGAGCGCAUCCCUGAGGUAGGCAGUGCCCCAGGCUUCCAGAAAAAGAAGAAAUGAAGGAAUGAAUGAG
This 311-nucleotide long non-coding RNA is filed under the name Cavia porcellus (domestic guinea pig). RNAcentral describes it as "lncRNA (ENSCPOG00000037115.1)". The record is from RNAcentral. Lineage: Eukaryota; Metazoa; Chordata; Mammalia; Rodentia; Caviidae.